This 253-nucleotide ribosomal RNA is filed under the name uncultured bacterium. Its description in RNAcentral is "partial 16S ribosomal RNA". It matches the Rfam family "Bacterial small subunit ribosomal RNA", at positions 524 to 776 of the family's 1533-position model. The record is from RNAcentral.
UACGAAGGGUGCAAGCGUUAAUCGGAAUUACUGGGCGUAAAGCGUGCGUAGGCGGUUUGUUAAGUCUGUUGUGAAAUCCCCGGGCUCAACCUGGGAAUGGCAAUGGAUACUGGCAAGCUAGAGUGUGUCAGAGGAUGGUGGAAUUCCCGGUGUAGCGGUGAAAUGCGCAGAUAUCGGGAAGAACACCCGUGGCGAAGGCGGCUCUCUGGGACGGUACUGACGCUGAGACGCGAAAGCGUGGGGAGCGAACAGG